CUGACACAGGGAGGUAGUGACAAGAAAUAACAAAGCAAGUCUCUCAGAGGCGCUGCGUUGGAAUGAGUAGAAUUUAAAUCUCUUUACGACCAUCAAUUGGAGGGCAAGUCUGGUGCCAGCAGCCGCGGUAAUUCCAGCUCCAAUAGCGUAUAUUAAAGUUGUUGCGGUUAAAAAGCUCGUAGUUGGAUUUCUGUCUAGGGUGGCCGGUACCCACUAUGUGAAGUAUCUGGUUCAGUCUGGGCAUCCUCUUGGGGAUCGUUCCUGUGCUUGAUUGCAUGGGGCGGAAUUCAAGACUUUUACUUUGAGGAAAUUAGAGUGUUCACGGCAAGCUUUCGCUUUGAAUACAUUAGCAUGGAAUAAUGAUAUAGGGCAUAAGUUCUAUUUUGUUGGUUUCUAGAACAUAUGCAAUGAUUAAUAGGGAUAAUUGGGGGCACUCGUAUUAACGCGUCAGAGGUGGAAUUCUUAGAUUGCGUUACGACGAACUACUGCGAAAGCAUUUGCCAAGGAUGUUUUCAUUGAUCAAGAACGAAAGUAUGGGGAUCGAAGACGAUUAGAUACCGUCGUAGUCUAUACCAUAAACUAUGCCAACUAGAGAUUGGAGGUCGUUUUUUUUAUGACUCCUUCAGCACCUUAUGAGAAAUCAAAGUUUUUGGGUUCCGGGGGGAGUACGGUCGCAAGGCUGAAACUUAAAGGAAUUGACG
This 701-nucleotide ribosomal RNA is filed under the name uncultured marine Syndiniales. RNAcentral's name for it is "SSU rRNA". It matches the Rfam family "Eukaryotic small subunit ribosomal RNA", at positions 451 to 1158 of the family's 1831-position model. The record is from RNAcentral. Lineage: Eukaryota; Dinophyceae; Syndiniales.